GCAACCUAUCUACUUUCCCUAAUACUAUCUAUGUUAAUACUUCGCCCGAGGAAUCGCCAUUUUGUGUAUACGUGCACUAAGUAGCAAUGUUUCGAUAGUUGUUAAGCCGCGGUCCAACGAUCGGAGGAUCAUCACAGAUGUGGUCGCAUAACUUUCACCCUUCCGGACCCAUGACCGGAGAAAUCUUCAGACGGCACGCGAUCCCCUUUCGACCGCUCAAAACCCUCAGUUUCUCUGACCCCCCCCCCCCCAUAGCUCAAACAAAUUUUCUGGUGCUUUGAUGUUUAUCCAUUUACUGACAUUUUGCGUGAAGCUACAGGCGUACCACGGGGAAGUGUGAUCCCCCAGUGGGUCAGAUGUCAUAUUUAUGACCGAAUCCGUGAGGUAGCAGGUCGUUGGACCGCCCCUUUAGUGUAAUAAAGACUUUAUUUUUCUAAUAGCGAUGAAAUGCUUUAUACAACACUCUACAUGAACAUCACCACAAAAGCUUUAAUUAAAAUAUUAUUAAUAUAAAUGAGCAGGAAAAUAUGCAAGAAGUAGAUUGGAGUAAAGAUAAACAAAAUAUAAGUUUAGAUUAUUUUAUUUUAGUUCAUAUUUUAACAAAAUAGAAAUCUGUUAUUUGCUAUAUUGAAAUAGUUGAGAGAAAAUAUGAGGAAGCUUUGAAUAUUUUUAAGAUAUAAUUUAUAAGGAGAAAUGAAAAAGGAAAUUUUAUUUUCCCACAAGAAACUGUCUGUUAUGUCAUUGAUGAAAUAAACAUAAUUGCGACGCUGCAUCCAAUAGUUAGAUAUAAGUAUAUAUUUUUUUAUUUGAUUUGGUUUUUAUGAAUAUAAAAUAAAACAAAUGUUGUAAUUUUCUGUGAGCCUUAGGUAUGUAAGUAUAUUUAUUAACUUUUUGCAACGUUUUGAAAAUUAAAUCUGAAUUUUCAUUUUCAAAAACAUACCAUAUCCUUAAUUCAUGUGAAGGAGGGCAUUUUUCUUGCUAAUGUAAUUGGUUUACAAUCCAAAAAUUUUAAUUAUUGCUGUCAAAUUUUUGUUUUUUUUAAUUUGUUAAAAUGUUAUUCUGAAAAUUCCCAUAUUGUUCCUGUGGAAAAUAAUUUAUGAGAAAUAUUUUUGUUAAAAUUGUGCCAUAUUUCCCUUACAUGUUGUUCAAAAUAUAAUUACUCUUUAACGGCAGAAAUAAUAUCAUGUUUGUGAUCUCACAUAUUCAAUUAAAUGAUAAUAUUUACUCCUUCAACUAAAAUACUUUUGUAUUUAAAAGAAAGAUUUAGAUUCAUAUAAAAGUUUGUAUUCUCCAUUUCUUAUUUUUUCUACGAGUUUUUAUAUACAAAUAUUUGUACAUUUUCUGAUUUUAAGAGUAGCAUUUUGUGUCUUAAUUUAGUUCAUUAUGGGGGGGGGGUAUUGUUGUUUUCUAUGCAUGCUACUUUUUCACCUUUUUGACUUUUUUGAAAAUACAGUUACUUUACAUUAGCUUUUUCUUCUGAUCAUUAUUUAAUCAUGAAUAUCCUUUAUUAUGUACACAUUUAUAAUUUUGCAUCUAAACUAAAUAAGAUUUCAUAAUGUUGCUUGCUUUGAAAAUUGCUGUCAUCCUUAUUAUUUUUUAAAGCAUAGUUAUUUAGAAAUGUUAUUGUAUAUUCUUAAUUUAAGUAGCUAAUGAAUUCGACAUUUUAUUUUAUUGUUGAAAGACAUAUUUAACCUAUUACAUGUCAAUAACAUUUAAUAAAUGGGUUAAUAAUGUAUAGGAGGUUUCCUCAGAUUCUACAAAAUGUAUUUGAACAAACUAGCUAUUGUUAGUAGUUGACUCUGCAGGGAUGAAACCAAGGAAUGAUGAAUGCAAGGUCUAUAUAGCUUAGAUAUGUUUAGUUAUACAGUGAUUUCUUUAUUUUCAAAUUAAAAUAAAUAGUCGGUAUUCUGUUUCUCUAUCAUGAAAUUAGCAUUUAAUUAAUGAGAACUUCAAAAUUAAUUUCUAACUUUUUAAUUUAAAAUAUCUUAUAACUUGAUAAAAUCAUAUGCUGGGUGAUUCAAAACUCCGUUAACAUUUGAAAAUUCACCCUAUCCUUUCGAAUGCCCUUCUUAUGGUGAUAGGAUCAUAAAACUGCCAUAGCAGAUGCUCGAUUCUGAAGUACAACUUCAUUAACAGAGCCUUUUUGGGUAAAGGCGUGAUUUCUAGUGUACCAUAUUUCCUUACUCACUGCAGCUCAUUAUCUCAUACCGCAUCACUGACAUUUUCCUAUCCAGUGCUCUUUUUUCCACUUUUUUUUUGUUUGUUUGUUUCAAUAAAACCCAAUAGCAUUCCAAGCAUGUGUCAAUUUUUACCUAAAUACUAUUGUUAUUUCUUAAAUUAUUAAAUUUUCAUAUGUUAACAAACUUUAGAAUCACUUGUUGUAGCUGUCUUGGAGAUUCUGUUUUACUUGCAAACUCUUUCACUUAAUAAAAUUGAAAUUCUCUUAUUUGUUUUAAUGCAUUUAAUACAAUUUUGUUUACAGUGAUGAAAAAAAUAUGAUAUUUUAUAAAGAUAUUUUUCCCUGUUGUUAAAAUAAAAACUUUAUGUAUCAUUAUUUGUCAAACUGAUAUAAUUUUGUUGUAUACAUACAUAUAUAUGUUAAUGUACGUUUUCAGCCUCUCCUCCUUUACCUCCACCACCUACUGAAGAUGAUAGUUUGUAUAAUCAAAAUUAUAAUCCUCCAUCUCCGCCUUUUCUUCACCGAAAUCAUGAUCCUGAUUGGGUUCCAAAGAACUAUCUUGAAAAGGUUGUGGCUAUUUAUGAUUAUGCAGCUGAUAAAGAAGAUGAGCUUUCUUUCUCUGAGAAUGCAAUUAUUUAUGUUCUGAAGAAAAAUGAUGAUGGAUGGUAUAAAGGUGUAAUGAAUGGAAUAACAGGUCUUUUUCCUGGAAACUAUGUUGAACCAUGCUUAUAAAAAUAUUGAUAUAAUGGAGUGUUUUAUAAAUGAUGAAAUUGGAGAAAUUUCUGAUACCAAAGGAACAUUUGCAUAUAUUUGAAAAAGAAAUUUUGAGUUUAUGAAAAAUUAUAUAUUAUUCUACAUAUUCAAUAUAUAGUAAUUUUUCAUAUUAUUCAAAGAAUAAGACAUAAAAUAAUUCACAUUAUUUUCAUUUGCAGAUUUAUGAAUAAAUCAUUCAUAAACUUCCCCACAUCACCAAGUUUGGAUAUUUAAGCUGUCUAAAAUAAUUUGAAAAUUUUCAUAUAGGUUGACUUUAAUAUACUGUAUAAUCUUUCAGAUUGGCACUUUUCUUGAUAAUAUAAAAAAAUAGAUAAUUCUGAGAUUACUUGAAAAGUAAUAUCUUGAUUAAUUGUGAUUGUAAAUUUAUGUAAUGUUCAAAACAUUGUCUUUUCAAAAAGACACUUUUCCAUGUAUGAGGCUUAUCAGAGGAAGAGUUUUUUGAAACUCAACUUCAUUUCACUUCUCUAAUAUCUCUUGAACGAUUAAGAAUUCGUGUCAUAUUUCAAUAUGUCAUUUUCCUGUUUUACCAAAGUUUUUAGUUUUUUCCAUUCAAUUAAUUGGUUUUCAAUUUAUAUAAAACGAAUGCAUAUGAAUAUUUUACAAAAAGUCAUGUUUGUAGUAUUAAAUACUUCACAAUGGAUAUUGUUUCACUCAGUCGCUCUUUACUAGAUUAUCUUGUUGGCUCAAUGAAAGGUAUUUUUAAUAUUUUAUGCAAGAUUUAAUUAUGACUGUAAUUUAUAUGUGUGAAAAUUUUAAGAUUAAUUGUUGUACCGCCUUAUUCUUUAAAAUUGUAUUUGUUAUCUCAAAGUUAGCUGCAGAUUUUCAAAAUUACGUUUUUAGAAAAUAUUUAAUAUUGAUUUUUUUUUAUGAUUAUGUUAAUACAAGGUUUUUGAAUUUUUAGAAAUAACCUGUAAGUUUCAAGAAAUUCUUGUUUUAAAAUUUGACUAAUUUUAGAUUUUUUUAAAAAUAUAUUUUAAUAUCUUAGUUUAAAAUAGGAUAGUCUUUUAGGGAAUGUGAGAGAGAAGGAUCUCAUAUGUUAUAUUGUGCAUUAUUAUUUUUUUAAUCAAAAAGAAUAUAGCUUUUAAUAUACUGAUGCGCUUUUUCAAUCUAAAAAUUUGCUAGUAAUUGAAAUUAAUUUUAUGUCUUGAAAAGAAAGUGGUCUUGCUUCCUUUCAGUUUAACUAAUCCAUUUUUUUGUUGUUCUUGCAUAGUGUAUGGUUAUAUUUCUUUUGCAUGUCUGUGUUCAUUGCCGAAGUAUUGUAAAUUUAAAAAUGGUUUUGUAUGUAUUUUGAAUUUUUCUGGUUUUUAACUUGCUUUAUUCUAAGAUUAUUGAAUGAUAUUCAGAUUAUUAUGGAACCAUGAUUAUUAUAUUUUCUGCUGCUUUAUAUGUGGAACUACUACUUCAUUAUAGCAAAAUACUUAUGGGUUUUUUAGAAUUGUGCCUCAUGGUAAACAAUAUGAAAAAAAAAAACAGGAUUUCCAAUAAAAGAAACCAAAAUAAUACUGAUUGAUUUUAAGGAUAAGAUCAGGUGUCAUUUGAAGCCACAUUAAAAGCAGAUUUAAAGUUUUUGUUACGAACAUUUCCUUCUGUGAUGCUCCCUUUUUUAUAUUUGUAAUUUUAAGAGCACAAAUUGUGUAUUCAAAAAUAAUAAGUUUAAUUUGAGAACUGCUUUAGUAUGCACUAUGAAUCUGGCAACUCUAACAAUCAAAUGGAGUAUUUUCUCUAGCAAAUUUCCAGCUUAUGUUUUUUGUUUAACUGUGCACCUACUACAUGAAUUUUAAGAGAAUUGAAAAUUAAAACUAAUUAGAAAAACAUUAUUUAUCCAAAAAUUAAAAUAUGAAUUUAAUUUCGAGGCAAUUUCAUUACUAUGCCAAAAAUUUAAGAACAUACAUUUCGUGAGGCAUCCAUUGUGGAAAUAAAUUAAUAAGAAACGAUAUCAACAUUUUAAAAUUUCAGUAAUAUCCUCAUCCUAGUAAAGAGUGAUUGGUUCAGUUUUUGAAAAUAAACCAUUUCUGUGGUAAGAAAUCUGUUUCUGAAAAGAGAAAUUCAAACUUUUUCUUGAUAUCUCGAGGACUUUUCAUUAGUUUGAUAAACAUUUAACAACAGAAAUUUCAUGUGCAUGUAUUGUGGAUAUAAAUUAAGAACAAGCUGUAUCUGUAUAUUUCCACUUUAAUCAUGAUAUCAUCGUCCUAAUCGAAAAUGAUUGGUGCAGUAUUUGAGGACAACAAUCCAUUUCUUUAGUGAAAAACAGGUUUCUCAAAACAGAAAUUCGCACCUUUUCUUGAUAUCUCGAGGACAUUUUAUUAGAGGGUCAAACAUUUAACCACAUAUAUUUCGUGUGGCAUCUAUUAUGUAUAUAGAUUAAGAAAAAGCGAUAUCUGCACCUGUCCAUUUCAAUGAUAUCAUAAUCGAAGGUGAAAACGAUUGAUUCAGUUUUUGAGAAGAAGAAGCCGUUUCUCUGGACAGAAACAAAUUUCGCAAAGUAGAUAUUCGAACUUCUUGAUAUCUCGAGUAGAUUUUAUUAGUAUGCCAAAUAUUUCGUGUGUCAUCUAUUGUGGAUAUAUAUUAAGAAAAAGCCAUAUCUGCGCCUUUGCAUUUCAGUGAUAUCAUCAUCCAAGUUGAAAAUAAUUGGCUGAGUUUUUGCUUGAAUAGAAAGCGGUUCUCUUGUAAGGAACAGGUUUCGCAAAGCAGAAAUUUGAACUUUUCUUGAUAUCUCGAGGUCAUUUUAUUAGUAUGCCAAACAUUUAACAACAUACAUUUCGUGUGGCAUCUAUUGUGGAUGUAAUUUAAGAAAAGGCGAUAUCUGCAGCUGUCCAUUUCAAUGAUACCAUAAUCCAAGGUGAAAACGAUUGGUUCAGUUUUUGAGAAGAAGAAGCCGUUUUUCUGGCCAGAAACAAAUUUCGCAAAGUAGAUAUUUGAACUUUUUCUUGAUAUCUGGAGGACAUUUUAUUAGUAUGCCAAAUAUUUCGUGUGUCAUCUAUUGUGGAUAUAUAUUAAGAAAACGCCAUUUCUGCGCCUUUGCAUUUCAGUGAUAUCAUCAUCGAAAAUGAAAAUAAUUGGCUCAGUUUUUGAUUGAAUAGAAGGCGGUUCUCUUGUAAGGAACAGGUUUCGCAAAGCAGAAAUUUGAACUUUUCUUGAUAUCUAGAGAUCAUUUUAUUAGUAUGCCAAACAUUUACCAACAUACAAUUCGUGUGGCAUCUAUUGUGGAUGUAAUUUAAGAAAAGGCGAUAUCUGCACCUGUCCAUUUAAGUGAUAUCAUCAUCCAAGUUGAAAAUAAUUGGCUCAGUUUUUGCUUGAAUAGAAGGCAGUUCUCUUGUAAGGAACAGGUUUCGCAAAGCAGAAAUUUGAACUUUUCUUGAUAUCUCGAGGUCAUUUUAUUAGUAUGCCAAACAUUUAACAACAUACAUUUCGUGUGGCAUCUAUUGUGGAUGUAAAUUAAGAAAAAGCAUCUGCACCUGUCCAUUUCAAUGAUAUCGUUAGACAAGUUGAAAAUGAUUGGUUCUAAAUUUGAGGAGUAGAGGCCGUUUCUCUAAUAAAGAACAAGUUUCGAAAAUCAGAAAUUCGAUCUUUUUCUGGAUAUCUCGAGGACAUUUUAUUAGUGGUGAUUCGAAGUGAGAAGUAGACUGUACUUUUGCUUGAACUUCUUUAUUUACACUAUAUACACUCCUUUUGCGGUGAGUAGAUCAUAUAAUACAUGGCUGAUUGCGGUAUUGCAUUGCGGUGCGCUUUGUUAAGCCUAACAAACUGAAGUUUUCAGCUUCUGAGGGGGCUGAGGAGCCGAUGCGGGUCAACGUUCUAAUGCACCCCUUAAAGACUCGACCGGAAGGGCGAGUAAAGGGGUUGCCGUAAUUUUAACAUUGCCAAGUUUGGCGUUAAGCGACAUUCGCGUGAACAAUUAGUAUGCCAAAUAUUUCGUGUGUCAUCUAUUGUGAAUAUAUAUGAAGAAAAAGCUAUAUCUACGCCUUUGCAUUUCAGUGAUAUCAUCAUCCAAGUUGAAAAUAAUUGGCUCAGUUUUUGCUUGAAUAGAAGGCAGUUCUCUUGUAAGGAACAAGUUUCGCAAAGGAGAAAUUCGCACUUUUUCUUGAUAUCUCGAGGACAUUUUAUUAGUGCGCCAAACAUUUAACAACAUAUAUUUCGUGUGGCAUCUAUUGUGUAUAUAGAUUAAGAAAAGGCAUCUGCACCUGUCCAUUUCAAUGAUAUCAUAAUCCAAGGUGAACACGAUUGAUUCAGUUUUUGAGAAGAAGAAGCCGUUUCUCUGGACAGAAACAAAUUUCGCAAGGUAGAUAUUCGAACUUUUUCUUGAUAUCUCGAGGACAUUUUAUUAGUAUGCCAAAUAUUUCGUGGGUCAUCUAUUAUGGAUAUAUAUUAAGAAAAAGACAUAUCUGCGCCUUUGCAUUUCAGUGAUAUCAUCAUCGAAGUUGAAAAUAAUUGGCUCAGUUUUUGAUUGAAUAGAAGGCGGUUCUCUUGUAAGGAACAGGUUUCACAAAGCAGAAAUUUGAACUUUUCUUGAUAUCUAGAGGUCAUUUUAUUAGUAUGCCAAACAUUUAACAACAUACAUUUCGUGUGGCAUCUAUUGUGGAUGUAAAUUAAGAAAAAGCAUCUGCACCUGUCCAUUUCAAUGAUAUCGUCAGACAAGUUGAAAAUGAUUGGUUCUAAAUUUGAGGAGUAGAGGCCGUUUCUCUAAUAAAGAACAAGUUUCGAAAAUCAGAAAUUCGAUCUUUUUCUGGAUAUCUCGAGGACAUUUUAUUAGUGGUGAUUCGAAGUGAGCAGUGAACUGUACUUUUGCUUAAACUUCUUUAUUUACACUAUAUACACUCCUUUUGUGGUGAGUAGAUCAUAUAAUACAUGGCUGAUUGCGGUAUUGCAUUGCGGUGCGCUUUGUUAAGCCUAACAAACUGAAGUUUACAGCUUCUGAGGGGGCUGAGGAGCCGAUGCGGGUCAACGUUCUAAUGCACCCCUUAAAGACUCGACCGGAAGGGCGUGUAAAGGGGUUGCCGUACUUUUAACAUUGCCAAGUUUGGCGUUAAGCGACAUUCGCGUGAACAAUUAGUAUGCCAAAUAUUUCGUGUGUCAUCUAUUGUGAAUAUAUAUGAAGAAAAAGCUAUAUCUACGCCUUUGCAUUUCAGUGAUAUCAUCAUCCAAGUUGAAAAUAAUUGGCUCAGUUUUUGCUUGAAUAGAAGGCAGUUUUGUAAGGAACAAGUUUCGCAAAGCAGAAAUUCGCAUUUUUUCUUGAUAUCACGAGGACAUUUUAUUAGUGCGCCAAAUAUUUAACAAUAUAUAUUUCGUGUGGCAUCUAUUGUGUAUAUAGAUUAAGAAAAGGCAUCUGCACCUGUCCAUUUCAAUGAUAUCAUAAUCCAAGGUGAAAACGAUUGAUUCAGUUUUUGAGAAGAAGAAGCCGUUUCUCUGGACAGAAACAAAUUUCGCAAAGUAUAUAUUCGAACUUUCUCUUGAUAUCUCGAGGACAUUUUAUUAGUAUGCCAAAUAUUUCGUGUGUCAUCUAUUGUGGAUAUAUAUUAAGAAAAAGCCAUAUCUGCGCGUUUGCAUUUCCGUGAUAUCAUUAUCCAAGAUGAAAAUAAUUGGUUCAAGUUUUGUUUGAAGGCGGUUCUCUUGUAAGGAACAGUUUUGCAAAGCAGAAAUUUGAACUUUUCUUGAUAUCUCGAUGUCAUUUUAUUAGUAUGCCCAACAUUUAACAACAUAUAUUUCGUGUGGCAUCAAUUGUGGACGUAAAUUAAGAAAAAGCGAUAUCUGCACCUGUCCAUUUAAGUGAUAUCGUCAUCCAAGUUGAAAAGUAUUGGUUUUAAAUUUGAAAAGAUUAGGCCGUUUCUCUAAUAAAGAACAAGUUUCGAAAAUCAGAAAUUCAGUCUUCUUGAUAUCUCGAGGACAUUUUAUUAGUAUGCCAAAUAUUUCGUGUGUCAUCUAUUGUGGAUAUAUAUUAAGAAAAAGCCAUAUCUACGCCUCUGCAUUUCAGUGAUAUCAUCAUCCACGUUGAAAAUAAUUGGCUCAGUUUUUGCUUGAAUAGAAGACAGUUCUCUUGUAAGGAACAAGUCUCGCAAAGCAGAAAUUCGCAUUUUUUCUUGAUAUCUCGAGGACAUUUUAUUAGUGCGCCAAUCAUUUAACAACAUAUAUUUCGUGUGACAUCUAUUGUGUAUAUAGAUUAAGAAAAAGCAUCUGCACCUGUCCAUUUCAAUGAUAUCAUAAACCAAGGUGAAAACGAUUGAUUCAGUUUUUGAGAAGAAGAAGCCGUUUCUCUGUACAGAAACAAAUUUCGCAAGGUAGAUAUUCGAACUUUUUCUUCAUAUCUCGAGGACAUUUUAUUAGUAUGCCAAAUAUUUCGUGUGUCAUCUAUUGUGGAUAUAUAUUACGAAAAAGCAAAAUCUGCUCCUUUGCAUCUCAGCCACUUUUAUAAUUAGGAACAGGUUUCGCAAAGCAGAAAUUCGAACAUUUUCUUGAUAUCUCGAGGACAUUUUAUUAGUAUGGCAAACAGUUAACAACAUGUAUAUUGUGUGGCAUCUAUUGUGGAUCUAAAUUAAGAAAAAGCAAUAUCUGCAGCUUUCUAUUUCAGUGAUAUCCUCAUAAUAGUGAAAUAUGAUUGGUUCAGUUUUUGAGUAGUAGAAGCCAUUUUUCUGGUGAGAAACUGGCCUCCCAAAACAGUAAUUCGAACUUUGUGUUGGUAUCUCUCAACAAAAUAAAAGCUGAAAUUACCUUCAAUUUAACAUAAAAUAAUAAGCAGAUUGUUGAAAUGCUUUUUUUGUUACAUUAAUUUUGAAACUGUAAGUCGAAUAAUUUCUGAAAAUAUUUUUAGACAUCUAUCAUAAAAUGUUUAUCUGGAUUUAAAUUUUAAUAGAUUUGUUUAAUUUUUAAUAGAUUUAAGAAAAGUUCAAAAAUGCGGUUUGUUCAUUGAAUUUUAAUCAUCUCAAAUUUAGUAAUUGUAGAUGAAAAUCAAAUUAAUGUAGAAUAUUUUUUAAAUUAAGAUGUAGAAUAAUUUUAAUUAUGAGGAAUUCGAUUAAUAUUAAUACUUUUUUUUAUAAAUGUUUAUCUGAUUAAGAAAUAUCUUAUUCAUAUUCAGUAUGUGAAAUAUGUUUGUGUUUUUUAUAUAUGGUUCCCAUAAUUACAAUUGUCUGUGGGCUGUUUUUUUUUCCUCCGCAAGAAAAUUUGCAAAACUAUUUUUUAAUAGUUUAAUUUAGCAAAAAUUGUUUUUAAAGGAUGCAGCUUGAAUCUUUUUAUUUCAAACUCCUAUUAUUAUUUGUAUCGUAUUCGUAUUAUAAUAUUACGAUAUCGAAUAAUAAUCGAGUUUAAUAUUUGUAAUAAUCGUAAUAUUAUUUGUGUAACUUUUUUCUAUUUAAUUUUGAAGAAAAUAUUUUGCUGUCAUCUAAAAAGGGUUUGAAACAUAUGUAUUAUUAUUGUAAUUUCGCAGCUAUAUGUUGACCGUGCUAUUUGUUAUAAAUAUACCUAUAUUUCUCUGAGGAUAUGAAAUAUGUGUAAUGUUAGUCUAUGCUUACUGUAUAAUUGAAAAUUCAAAUAAAAAAGUAGU
Argiope bruennichi is the source of this 10484-nucleotide RNA transcript. It is a transcript of the gene named abl interactor 1-like, with no coding region annotated. The transcript is spliced from 2 exons. The record is from RefSeq and is a predicted model, not a curated record. Lineage: Eukaryota; Metazoa; Arthropoda; Arachnida; Araneae; Araneidae.